AACGAACGCUGGCGGCAUGCCUAACACAUGCAAGUCGAACGAGACCUUCGGGUCUAGUGGCGCACGGGUGCGUAACGCGUGGGAACCUGCCCUUAGGUUCGGAAUAACUCCCCGAAAGGGGUGCUAAUACCGGAUAAUGUCUUCGGACCAAAGAUUUAUCGCCUUUGGAUGGGCCCGCGUUGGAUUAGCUAGUUGGUAGGGUAAAAGCCUACCAAGGCGACGAUCCAUAGCUGGUCUGAGAGGAUGAUCAGCCACACUGGGACUGAGACACGGCCCAGACUCCUACGGGAGGCAGCAGUGGGGAAUAUUGGACAAUGGGCGAAAGCCUGAUAAAGCAAUGCCGCGUGAGUGAUGAAGGCCUUAGGGUUGUAAAGCUCUUUUACCCGGGAUGAUAAUGACAGUACCGGGAGAAUAAGCACCGGCUAACUACGUG
Molecule: ribosomal RNA, 433 nt
Filed under: uncultured bacterium
Lineage: Bacteria
Description: partial 16S ribosomal RNA
Rfam family: Bacterial small subunit ribosomal RNA
Source: RNAcentral